GAAUUAAACAGAUGAACUAUAGUCCUAGACCAUUAAAAAUGAACCAAUCUGCUGGACAGCUUCCAAGUGCUCUGCGCUGAGCGCCCCAAAAAGGUGCUAGGUUCCAGCGGGGUUUUAUGUCCUCAUUUUCUGCCAAUAAUUCCUCUUCUCUGAGAAUGUGGAGGAAUAAUUUGAUGAAAAGGCUGCUCACAUUCCACGACUUGGGGCCAGCCCUGCCCUGGCUUAGGGGGUUGUGCUAAUUUAGAAGCUUGGAGUGCGGGGGGGUGCGGGACAGAGCUGACAGCCAAGUGGGUCUGGGGGUCCAUUAACUGCCCCCUGGCAAUGUUUCCUUCUCCAGGAGUUCAAGAGAGUUCCCCAUCUGCACCCCACAAGCCUCAGAGGAGGGGCACAGUUGACUGUUACCUUCCUUUACAAAUGAGGAAACUGAGGCUCCAGAGUCCAGGGUGCAUGGAGGCGGUCACACCAAUGGGUCCAGUGUAUCUAGGUGCAAAAGGAUGCGAGAUCUUCCAAAUCCUGCUUCUGUCCCACUCCUUAUGUCUCUCUGAGCAUCCGGUUCCUACACACCUUCACCCCACCCUUCCAUGACGUCUGUCCCUCAGGCUCUGCCACCUCCUUGAUUCCUGGCCCAGCCAGUUGCUCCUCCUCUCUGAGAGCCUGUCUCCAUCCGCAAACCUGUAGUUCAGGGGUGCACUUUCAGAGUCAGGCUAGACUGGGAGUCAGCAGACCCGGCUUGAAUCCCAACUCUGCUGCUUACGAUCCAUGCAGCUUUUAGAAAUCUCUUCCCCUCACUGAGCUUCAGUUUCCUCAACUGUACCUUAGGACUUAAAAAGUCAGAGUGUUCCUCAAAGGCCCCCUCUGCCUCUAGCACCCCACCUGCCACCAAAAUCCUUUCCAACGUGCACUUAACAUCUUUCCAACUUUAGAACUCAGCAGCAGGGUAAGAGACAACUCUCAUUUAAUCCAUCCGCAAAACGAGCACAUUUAGUUUGCCUUAUAUUGAUGAUUAUAAGGCUUAAUAUCAACACAGAAUGAUAAUAUUACUUAAGCCUACCGAACUUUGCAUGUGUAACUUUCCAGUAAAUAAAGCACAUCACUGCAAUUGUUUCACGGGUACUCAUCCAGCAAAACUGCCUGGAAACCAUACUACUGGGGACUUCUAGGCACUGGGGACUCACCUGUGACAAAACACACGCUCUCUGAUCUCAAGAAUAUCAGCAGCUUACAUCCACUAACCUCAUUUUACAGAGGAGGAAACUGAGGCUGAGAGGGCUUGGAUAACUCACUCAGGAGGCAGAGCCUACAUCUGACCCCAGAGUCUGUAAGAAGGAGCCUAUGGCAACGCCUGCUAGGGACAAAAACCUGUGAGCCUCCCACCCCGUCCCAGGAUCCACCACCAAGGACUUAAGCCCAAGGCAGGGCCAGGCACAGUGGCUCAAGCCUGUAGUCUUAGCUACUCCGGAGGCUGAGGCAGGAGGAUCGCUUGAGCCCAGGAGUUUGAGGCUGCAGUGAGCUGUGAUCACACCACCGCUCUCCAGCUUAGGCCACGGAGCAAGACCCUGUCAAAAAAAGGAAAAAAAAAAAAA
This is a long non-coding RNA of Macaca fascicularis (crab-eating macaque), 1583 nucleotides long. The record is from Ensembl. Lineage: Eukaryota; Metazoa; Chordata; Mammalia; Primates; Cercopithecidae.